RNAcentral lists this ribosomal RNA (497 nucleotides) under uncultured bacterium. RNAcentral's name for it is "partial 16S ribosomal RNA". It matches the Rfam family "Bacterial small subunit ribosomal RNA", at positions 28 to 507 of the family's 1533-position model. The record is from RNAcentral.
GAUGAACGCUGGCGGCGUGCCUAAUACAUGCCAGUCGAGCGAACGGACGAGAAGCUUGCUUCUCUGAUGUUAGCGGCGGACGGGUGAGUAACACGUGGAUAACCUACCUAUAAGACUGGGAUAACUUCGGGAAACCGGAGCUAAUACCGGAUGAUAUUUUGAACCGCAUGGUUCAAAAGUGAAAGACGGUCUUGCUGUCACUUAUGGAUGGAUCCGCGCUGCAUUAGCUAGUUGGUAAGGUAACGGCUUACCAAGGCAACGAUGCAUAGCCGACCUGAGAGGGUGAUCGGCCACACUGGAACUGAGACACGGUCCAGACUCCUACGGGAGGCAGCAGUAGGGAAUCUUCCGCAAUGGGCGAAAGCCUGACGGAGCAACGCCGCGUGAGUGAUGAAGGUCUUCGGAUCGUAAAACUCUGUUAUUAGGGAAGAACAUAUGUGUAAGUAACUGUGCACAUCUUGACGGUACCUAAUCAGAAAGCCACGGCUAACUACGUG